Molecule: non-coding RNA, 727 nt
Organism: Zonotrichia albicollis (white-throated sparrow)
Lineage: Eukaryota; Metazoa; Chordata; Aves; Passeriformes; Passerellidae
Source: RefSeq, a predicted model, not a curated record
UUGGUUUAUUUCAAUUUUUUUAACCCGAAUUGCUGUCUUUUUAAGAAGUCUCUGAAAUCGUCUCCCUUGACAGGGCAAGCAAAACGUGCCUUAAAUCUCCAUCUCGUGGAAGAUCUGCUUGGCUGGCAGCUGAUGUGUGUUGCUGUUGGGUUUUAAGGAACAUCUCUGUGUUGUACUUCUUUUGUUGUUUAGCUUUGAUUUAGUAUUUUUUUCCUUUUUCUCUUUGUUUUAUUUGAUUGGUUGUUUUUGGUCUUUUGCAUUUGGUUUUUCAAAGAGCUUUGGCAAACACCAGAGCCAUCAAGGCCAGGGCAGGCCCUCUCUCCUCCUUCUCUUACUGAUGCUCUUGACCUGAGUUCCUUGAGUGCUCCUCUGCGAUCUGCCAAGGUGCAAAAUUUGCAAAAUUAUCUCCUGCCUUUAAUCCCAGCUUUCUCCCACCUGUGGGAUGCUCCCUCCAGUUCUGUCUGAAGCUGAAAGGUGUCUCCACACCUUGGGCCUCUUUUCUCCUCCCAUGGAGGCCACCAGAGGAGAUCCAGGCAAUCCCCAGUGUGGCUCUUUGCCUCCCUCAAGUGACUGGCACCAACACCAACCUCUGUGCAGCUGCAGCACCUUCCUGCGACUCAGCUGCAGACUGGAGUAAUUUGCUGAUGCUGUACAAGGAAUUGUCUCUCCUGGAGUCCUGGCUGGUGUGAUCAGAACUCACAUAUGGUACCAGAACAAAGGGCCCUUC